GAUCAUGGCGAGGUGGAUACUAUGGUUCCUUAGGUCUUAUUUGAUAGUCCGAAAAAAUUUUAGGCGAUAGGGGUCGGGACGGUCCCGGGACCACUCGGAAGGCGUGGGCUAUAACACACAAAAAUAUAGGAAUCGCGCGGAAUUCUAGUUGUUUGGCCAAAAAAUGAAAAAAACUAGGAACGAUAUGGCUGGGCGGUGACUAUGGUUCCUUAGGUCUUAUUUGAUAGUUCGGAAAAUUUUUAGGCGAUCGGGGUCCGCGGCUCUUGGGACCACUCGGAAUGCGUGGGUAUAGCACACAAAAAUAUGGGAAUCAGGGCGAAAUUCUAGUUGUUUGGCCGAAAAACGCAAACAAUGAGGAACGAUCAUGGCGGGGCGGAUACUAUGGUUCCUUAGGUCGUAUUUGAUAGUCCGGAAAAUUUUUAGGCGAUCGGGGUCCGGUGGUCCCGGGACCCCUCGAAAGGCGUGGGCUAAAGCACACGAAAAUAUGGAAUCGCGCGAAAUUCUAGUUGUUUGGCC
RNAcentral lists this long non-coding RNA (516 nucleotides) under Nicotiana tabacum (common tobacco). Its description in RNAcentral is "long non-coding RNA (NTAB_LNC004146)". Lineage: Eukaryota; Viridiplantae; Streptophyta; Magnoliopsida; Solanales; Solanaceae. The record is from RNAcentral.